UGGGGAAUCUUGCGCAAUGGGCGAAAGCCUGACGCAGCGACGCCGCGUGAGUGAUGAAGGCCUUCGGGUUGUAAAGCUCUGUGGGGAGAGAAGAAUAAGUGCGGGCUAAUACUCCGCAUGAUGACGGUAUCUCCUUAGCAAGCACCGGCUAACUCUGUGCCAGCAGCCGCGGUAAGACAGAGGGUGCAAACGUUGUUCGGAAUUACUGGGCGUAAAGCGAGUGUAGGCGGUUCGAUAAGUCGGAUGUGAAAGCCCCGGGCUCAACCCGGGAAGUGCACUCGAUACUGUCGAGCUAGAGUAUCGGAGAGGUUGGUGGAAUUCUCGGUGUAGAGGUGAAAUUCGUAGAUAUCGAGAGGAACACCGGUGGCGAAGGCGGCCAACUGGACGAAUACUGACGCUGAGACUCGAAAGCGUGGGGAGCAAACAG
RNAcentral lists this ribosomal RNA (427 nucleotides) under uncultured bacterium. RNAcentral's name for it is "bacterial SSU rRNA". It matches the Rfam family "Bacterial small subunit ribosomal RNA", at positions 355 to 775 of the family's 1533-position model. The record is from RNAcentral.